This 406-nucleotide ribosomal RNA is filed under the name uncultured bacterium. Its description in RNAcentral is "partial 16S ribosomal RNA". It matches the Rfam family "Bacterial small subunit ribosomal RNA", at positions 30 to 526 of the family's 1533-position model. The record is from RNAcentral.
AUUGAACGCUGGCGGCAGGCCUAACACAUGCAAGUCGAGCGAGCGGCGGACGGGUGUGUAAUGUCUGGGAAACUGCCCGAUGGAGGGGGAUAACUACUGGAAACGGUAGCUAACACCGCAUACCAUCAGAUGUGCCCAGAUGGGAUUCGCUAGUGGGUGGGGUAAUGGCUCACCCAGGCGACGAUCCCUAGCUGGUUUGAGAGGAUGACCAGCAACACUGGAACUGAGACACGGUCCAGACUCCUACGGGAGGCAGCAGGGGGGAAUAUUGCACAAUGGGCGCAAGCCUGAUGCAGCAAUGCCGCGUGUGUGAAGAAGGCCUUCGGGUUGUAAAGCACUUUCAGCGAGGAGGCGUUACUCGCAGAAGAAGCACCGGCUAACUCCGUGCCAGCCGCCGCGGUAAUUC